This 253-nucleotide ribosomal RNA is filed under the name uncultured bacterium. RNAcentral describes it as "partial 16S ribosomal RNA". It matches the Rfam family "Bacterial small subunit ribosomal RNA", at positions 524 to 776 of the family's 1533-position model. The record is from RNAcentral.
UACAGAGGUCCCAAGCGUUGUUCGGAUUCACUGGGCGUAAAGGGUGCGUAGGCGGUCGGGUAAGUCUGAUGUGAAAUCUCACAGCUUAACUGUGAAACUGCAUUGGAUACUAUCCGGCUAGAGGAAUGGAGGGGAGACUGGAAUACUUGGUGUAGCAGUGAAAUGCGUAGAUAUCAAGUGGAACACCAGUGGCGAAGGCGAGUCUCUGGACAGUUCCUGACGCUGAGGCACGAAAGCCAGGGGAGCAAACGGG